Molecule: long non-coding RNA, 831 nt
Organism: Myzus persicae (green peach aphid)
Lineage: Eukaryota; Metazoa; Arthropoda; Insecta; Hemiptera; Aphididae
Exons: 2
Source: RefSeq, a predicted model, not a curated record
CCAAUAAGUACAUGUUGAUUUAAUUAAACAAGAAUUAGUGAAUUAGUGAUAGUAAAAUAUACAAAAGCACAUUUUAAAGGAGAAUUGUUUAUCUCAUUUUUAUUCUUAAUAUAACUACAACAUUUGACAAUUGUUUAAUGUGCUAUCUACUACAUAUUUUGUUGUUUAGUAUGCAGCUAUCUACAGAAAGAACAUUAUCUACCAAUGUGUGUCAUACUACUAAUAUUUUUUUAUAGGAAUGUGCAAUAAAUACUAAUUUAGUUGAUAUUUCAACGUACACCAAGUCAGUUGAAGUGUUGUUUUUUUAAAAUUUUAAAUGAGUUAUUUAACAGUGGGUUAUUUUUACUGGCACAUCCUUGGGGACAAAGAUAUGUGUGCACAAUAUUUUAGGGAACGAGAAUUACGCAUAAACAAGAUUACAGGAAGCGGAACUGAAACACAAACAAUCAAAAUGCUUUGGAAACGUGUAAAAAACAAGUAUGGCAUUAAAUCAUGCAGAGCUACUCACUUGUUCGAAUAUCAACAUCAAGAAGAUAAUCGAUUCUUGAUUUGAUAAAAAUAAAUAUAUUCUAAAAUUAUAAUCUAAAAUUCAACUUAAGCAGCAAUUUGAACAUUGAUGUGGUUGAACAAUUAAUGUUUUAUUAUGUAGAUAGAUUAUUGAAUAGACGCUAUACUUGUAUACAUAUUAUCAAUGACUGUGCAGAACAUUAAUGACGCAGCUACUUGUGACCAGCUACCCGGAGCUGCACCAAUAUCUAUUACACAUUGGCCUGGUUUCAAUAUAGAAAAUCUAUCAUCCAUUUGCAGCAGUUUGAAUGCACUUCUACACCU